UGAGGAACAUGACCUUCGGCGGGGGAUAGCCGGCCCAACGGCCGGGUAAUACCGCGUACGACCACAUGGGGACAUCCCUGAGUGGUGAAAGCAGCAAUGCGCCGAUGGAGUGCCUCGCGGCCUAUCAGCUAGUUGGUGAGGUAACGGCUCACCAAGGCGACGACGGGUAGCCGGUCUGAGAGGAUGGCCAGCCACAUUGGGACUGAGACACGGCCCAGCUCCUAGGGAGG
Molecule: ribosomal RNA, 230 nt
Filed under: uncultured bacterium
Lineage: Bacteria
Description: partial 16S ribosomal RNA
Rfam family: Bacterial small subunit ribosomal RNA
Source: RNAcentral